GGUCCCCAGUGUUUUGACACGUUUAAUUGCAAAUUAAAAAAAACUUAUCCAAAGUGGGACCU
RNAcentral lists this transfer RNA (62 nucleotides) under Ocnus glacialis. RNAcentral describes it as "tRNA-Cys". Lineage: Eukaryota; Metazoa; Echinodermata; Holothuroidea; Dendrochirotida; Cucumariidae. The record is from RNAcentral.